This 520-nucleotide unclassified non-coding RNA is filed under the name uncultured Entrophospora. Its description in RNAcentral is "SSU rRNA". It matches the Rfam family "Eukaryotic small subunit ribosomal RNA", at positions 569 to 1082 of the family's 1831-position model. The record is from RNAcentral. Lineage: Eukaryota; Fungi; Glomeromycota; Glomeromycetes; Entrophosporales; Entrophosporaceae.
AGCAGCCGCGGUAAUUCCAGCUCCAAUAGCGUAUAUUAAAGUUGUUGCAGUUAAAAGCUCGUAGUUGAAUUUCGGGAUUGACACAUCGGUCGUGCCUUAAGGGGUAUGAACUGGUGUAGUCAAUUUCUCACCUUCUGGAGAACCGCGAUGCCCUUAAUUGGGUGUCGCGGGGAACCAGGACCUUUACUUUGAAAAAUUAGAGUGUUAAAAGCAGGCAUUUUGCUUGAAUACAUUAGCAUGGAAUAAUAAAAUAGGACGGCAUGAUUCUAUUUUGUUGGUUUCUAGGAUCACCGUAAUGAUUAAUAGGGAUAGUUGGGGGCAUUAGUAUUCAAUUGUCAGAGGUGAAAUUCUUGGAUUUAUUGAAGACUAACUACUGCGAAAGCAUUUGCCAAGGAUGUUUUCAUUAAUCAAGAACGAAAGUUAGGGAUCGAAGACGAUCAGAUACCGUCGUAGUCUUAACCAUAAACUAUGACCGACUAGGAAUCAGACGAUGUUAAUUUUUAAUGUACUCUAUUCGGCG